Molecule: long non-coding RNA, 6375 nt
Filed under: Ananas comosus (pineapple)
Lineage: Eukaryota; Viridiplantae; Streptophyta; Magnoliopsida; Poales; Bromeliaceae
Description: long non-coding RNA (ACOM_LNC013287)
Source: RNAcentral
ACGAACUUCGAUUGUGACUAAAUCUAACUAAUUUUGUGAUAAAAUUAAUAACAUUGACUUACCGAUAAUUGCUAAAUUCCAAAAAAAUUGUAAAAGAAUAAUGACAAAUUAUUUGAUCCGGAAGCGUGCGGAGCACUGCCCUAAGGCAUAUUCCCGUCCUUCGUGCGGGAUUAACCAGAAACACCGCCCCAAAAUACGACCAGAAUUCCUCCUCCUACGAGCACGAACGCGGAAGAGGUUGACGAAGCUUCUUUCAACACCCGGCGACGAAAGAAUUAAAUAAAUAAGAGAAAGUGAAAAGCAUAAAACCAAUUCUCAAAAUUUUACUGUAGUUCUUUCUAUACUGUUUUUGUAAAACCUUGUAAACAUCAAUAGUAGACCCCCAAUAAUAUAUAGAGAGGGUCCAAUUUCAGAACGUUGGAGUCCAACGUUCUACUCCACAUAAUUAGCCACCUCUUAAUGAGCUACUUGCGUACUCGCACGUAGCGCAGAGUGCGCAACGACUCUACGCUUCUUGCGCGCGAGCGCAAGCGGAGCGGGGGCUAAAGGAACGUUAUUAAAAAAAAUAAAUAAGCAUUAAUAAAUAAAAUAAAUUAGAUAGUAAAAUAUUAAAUAAACAUUAAAAAAUUUUGAAUUUUCAUUAACAAUCCCCCACAAAAUUCAAAAUCUCGAAAUAGGAAUUAACUCGAAAACAAAAUAAAUAAAUAGAUCACCGGGUGUUUAUACUAUAUAGUAAGUAAGGUGUCCUUAAGAGACUUAACCUCAGUUAGUGUAAAUAGUUUCCAUCAGAAGGAAUCGGAGUGAACCAGAUCUUGAACUACGUUCCUUUGACCCUGACUUCAACUACCACACACACAGUACAGAUAUCUCCAUCGCGGGUCUGUGCGUUAAUGGCCAUGCAUAGUAUCUUGAUUAUUUCAUAAGAGUUUCUAUGGAUAACCCACAUCUCAUAGCCGCGGCCACAUACGGAUAUUCUUAUAUAGGUAGUUUCCUCCAGGGAUGUGUGUAGAGUCACAUCUCGCGAAAAUUAUCGCCUCGAAUCCCAUUAAGAGCUAUAAUCUCAACCUCGACCACUACACAGAGCACUACUCACCAUAGGGAUGGGAUUGGAGCUAAAGCUCCUUUAUAUAAACUGUAGAAAGUGCUCUUUGGCCAACCUAGUAGCUUGUUUUUACCACAUUGAACCUUCUUCAAGGGAUCUCCUAUCACAAAGGUUGGGUUCCCACUGCAGGAAGGCCCUUUACGGGCAAAGUCCCAUCCCCCUCGAUGACUCCAGGACCUUAGUCCUAUUCAGGCCUUUCGUCAAGCAAUCUGCAAGAUUCUGAUCAGAUCUGAUAAAACUCAAAGAAAUAAUAUCAUGAGAAGUUAACCAUCUAACAGACUUUUGUCUCAACUUUAUAUGUCUACUAGCUUUAGAAUUUACCAACUUCUUUUUACAAAAAUCAAUUGCAGCUCGAGAAUCACACCUAAUAGAAAUAGGUGGAAUAGGAAAAAAAAAUCAACGGAAUCAAUGACAGUAGAUUCUUGAGCCACUCGGCUUCAAGACAAGUAGUAUCAAGAGCAACUAACUCAGCCUCCAUAGUACUUCUCGCUAUUAUAGUCUGUUUGGUGGAUUGCCAAGAAACUGCACCUCCACCAAGAAUAAAAAUAUAAUCAGAAGUUGACUUGAUAUCCAAAAAAUCAGAAAGCCAAUUGACAUCGCUGUAUCCCUCAAUUACAGUAGGAUAGCCAACAAAACGAAGAGAAUAAGAGAUAGUACCUUUAAAGUAACGAAAUACUCUUUCCAAAGCAAUCCAAUGAGUUAUACUAGGGUUACUAGUAUAUCUACUCAAUCUCGAUAUGGCAUAAGCAAUAUCAGGUCUAGUUCUAUUGGUUAGGUACAUCAAAGAACAAAUAAUCUGGGUAUAUCUCUCCUGAUUUACAGGAUUACCAGUGUUCUUCACAAGUUGAACACUAGGAUCAAAAGAAGUAGAAACAGGAGUGCAAUCAGAAUAUCCAAAUUUGUCAAGAACCAUUUGGGUAUAUUGAGAUUGGGUCAGAAGAAUAAAAUCUGAUGAUCUAAGAAUUUUCAUUCCUAAAAUCACAUCUGCUUCACAAAGAUCCUUCAUAUCAAAAUGAGUCGAUAAAAAGGAUUUAACUUGGUUAAUCAGAUCAAGAUCAGGCGCAAGGAUCAAGAUGUCAUCAACAUAGAGGCAAAGAAGAACACAUCGGUCGCCAAAUCUCUUAAAAUAGAGACAGUUGUCAAAAUCGUUUGUUUGAAAUCCAUAUGAUUCAAUAACACUGUCGAAUUUUUCGUGCCACUGCUUAGGUGCUUGUUUUAGUCCAUACAAAGAGCGAACUAAUUUACACACCUCAGUUUCUUGACCAGGCACAGAGAAACCUUCAGGUUGAGUCAUAUAGAUUUCUUCUUCAAGAUCUCCAUAAAGAAAAGCGGUUUUGACAUUCAUCUGAUGAAUCAAAAGCUUAUGAAUAGAUGCUAAUGCAAGAAUGACCUGGGUCGUAGCAAUACGAGCAACAGGCGCAUAUGUGUCAAAGUAAUCAACUUCAGCUUUUUGUUGAAAACCUUGAGCUACAAGCCGCGCCUUAUACUUCUCUACCGAUCCGUCAGUUCUAAGCUUCUUUUUAAAGAUCCACUUACAUCCUAAAGGUUGGUUUCCAGGGAGUAAAUCAGUGAGAAUCCAAGUGUUGUUGCCAAUAAUUGACUCGAUCUUACUGUUUAUGGCCUCCUUCCAAAAAGAAGCUUCAGAAGAACUCAUAGCUUCCUUGUAUGAUGACGGUGUACUUUCAACUAAGAAAGUAAAGAAAUCUUCACCAAAGUUUUUCUCAAUGCGAGUUCUCUUGCUUCUUCUCAGUUCGGCUGGUGGGUUAGGUUCUACAGGAUCUAAACUAUAUGAUAAAUCAGAUGCAGAUAAAUGAUCAGAUGUAGAUGCAUGAUCAACUGUAGGCUGAAAAUCAAGUGCAGAUCUAGAGAUAUGGGUUUUGAAAGGAAAGAUAUUUUCAAAGAAGGUUGCAUCUCUAGAUUCAAUCAAGGUAUCAUUGGAAAUCUCAGAAAUCUCAGAGUUGGUUACAAGAAAUCUAUAGGUGUUGCUAUCUAGGGAAUAUCCAAUGAAAAUGGCAUCUACUGUUUUAGGACCAAUCUUCUUUCUUUUGGGUUCAGGAAUAGACACCUUAGCUAAGCACCCCCACACUCGGAAGUAACUCAGCCUAGGUGCUCUUCCCUUCCAAAGUUCAUAAGGUGUCUGAGUUCUAUCCUUAGAAGGAAUCCUAUUGAGGAUAUAACAAGCUGAUAAAAGAGCCUCCCCCCACAAGUUCUGAGAUACACCAGAACUUAAAAUCAUAGCAUUAACCAUGUCUAAUAGGGUUCGGUUCUUUCUUUCAGCUACACCAUUAGACUGAGGUGAGUAUGGAGCAGUUACUUCAUGAAUUAUUCCAUGUUCCUCGCAGAACAGAUUUAAUUCAUUUGAAGUAUACUCGCCUCCUCUAUCAGACCUUAGAAUUUUAAUCCUCUUCUCCAAUUAGUUUUCAGCCUCUGCUUUAAAGGCUUUAAACUUAUUGAGGACUUCAUCUUUGGUCUUCAAGAGAUAAGUGUAACAAAAUUUAGAGUAGUCGUCUAUAAAGGUCACAAAGUAACGACUUCCUCCACGAGUAGGACCUCUAUUGGAAUCACAGACAUCACUAUGAAUCAGUUCAAGAAUCUGGGUAUUCCUAUAAGGAAUAGAUUUAAAAGGUUUUCUAGGCUGCUUAGCUUGGGUACAAAUUUCACAUUUGGAUAUAGGAUCAAUCUUGAAUUUGGGUACAAGGUUAAGAUUGGAUAGUUUCAGAAUAGAUUUAAGGUUCACAUGCCCUAAUCUGCCAUGCCAUAUAUCACAAGAUUAGUAUUCAAAACAACAGUAGAAGAAGUAUAAGAAGAAGAAUUUUUAUUAUCAGCACAAGAAAGUACAUUCAGUUUGAACAAACCCUCAGAUACAAAACCUUUUCCAAUAAACAUUUCUCCUUUAGAUAUUACAACUUUAUUGGAUUCUAAUACAAUCUUAUAUCCUAAUCGCACUAACAAAGAUCCACUAAUCAGGUUCCAUCGGAUUUUAGGAGAAUGCUGCACAUUGUGAAGGAUUAACGUCUUUCCUGAAGUUAACUUCAGCUUGACUGUUCCGAUCUCCAACACAUUGACAGCUUUUCCAUAUCCAACAGUCACACAUCCUCCACUUGUGUCUUGAUAAGAGGAGAAUAGGGACCUAUUAGUGGAAAUAUGGACAUUGGCUCUAGAAUCUAACCACCAAUAUAAAUCAUGAUAGGUAAGGUUAACAUUAGGUACAAAGGAGACUGACAUAAAAUUGGAGUUGGAAGGUUCACCCUCAAUCAUGUUGACCUGAGGUUUAGGAUAGUUGUUCUGAGUGUUUUGGCCCUUCUUGUUGACAACCUUCUCUUUCUUCCGAUAAAAACAUUUUGAAGCAAAAUGGUUGUCACGGCCACAUACAUAACAGAAACCAUCCUUCUUCUUAUUCCCACUAGGUUGGUUGGUAUUGGGUUUUUGGGUAUAGUUCCGAUUUCGAUUAGGGUUCCUACCUUUAAAGCCCUUACCCUUAGGUUUAAAAUUUUUACCUUUGGGUUUAGGCUCAUGGCUCUGGUUCUAAAUCUCGGUCAGGUUUAUGUUUGAUCGGUUGUCGGACAGUUUAAUCUCUCUAAGUCGGUAUUGGUCUUCUAUUCUAAUAGCUUGGAUUAUCGAUCUAAGUUUAAGAGUUUCCUGGGUACGUCUAAGCUCAUGGGCAAAUUUGGUCCAGGAAGGGGGUAAUUUAUCCAAUAGACAGGUUGCCUGAUAGGUUUCGUCUAGAGUUGAUCCAUUUCUAUGAAUCUCUUGGACAAAAUUCUAAAAUUGAUGGAUUUGAUCGUUUAUAGGAAUGUUGUCUACCAUUCUAAAAUUGUUAAAAUCGGUAAUGGUAAAUCUGGCGACACCUUCAUUAUCUCUAAUGUAGGCAUCUUCUAAGGCAAGCCAUAAAUCUUUGGCAGUUUGAUAUUUCCUAUAGGUUUUAUAAAGUUCGUCAGAUAGGCAGUUAAGUAUUCUAAACCUACAUUGAAAUUCAAUUUCCUCGGGAGAUUUGUCAGUUUUAGGUUCUGUAACUGAGGUGGUAGUAGAAUCAGAUGGAGGAGUUUCAAUAGGUGGAUCAGAAGAAUUUUUAGAAGUAGGAUAAUGAGGUGUUUUUCCAAUUGCAGUCAUGAGGCCUAAGGUGAUAAGCCAAGCCUCUAACAGUUCUUGCCACUUCAAAAAACCUACCCCUUUAAAUUUUUCUGGUUUAAGGCUACAAGUAUCAUCAAAACCCAUUCUAACUAAUCUAGUUGAGGGAACAAAGAAAUUAAGGAUGAUUGAAAAGAGCUGCAAAAAAGGUUCAAAAAACUAUUUUAGAAAAACAAACAUGUUGUUUAAGGUUUCUACCCUAGUCAACCAGAAUAUUUUAGGGUUUAAGUUUUUAAAUUUAAUCUUUUAUGAAAGUUCGUUCAGCAACAAAUAGAUGGGCCAAACAAUUUAAAUAUUUGGUUUUAAUUAAAUAAUCUUGAACAGAUAUAUACAAUCAAAUACUAUUUAUGCGGCAAACAGAUUAUGUAUAAACACUGAGACAAAAAAAAUUACAAAUUUAAAUUGGGCUUGUUGGUUGGGCCCAAUUAUUUUGAGCUAACAAGUUAAGGGUUCAAAUUCUACUCAAAGCAGAUUUUUUUUUUUUUUUAAAUAAUAAGGCCGUACAGUGCAGAAUUUUAUUUUAUUUUUUUAAAUCCGUACAAGAAGCAUAAAAGAAUUUACUAAAUCCCACUUGAAACAAUUUUUUUUUUUAAUUAACAGUAGAAGAAAAAAAAAAUUACAAGCAAACUAUAUGCAAAUAGAUUUUAAUAAAAAUGCUAAUCCCAACUUAAAUUAAUUUUUGUAUGUCAAUCAUACAAGCAAGUUAUAAAACAAAUUAUAUACAAUAUGCACAAUUAUUAUUUUCGGAUUAGCACUUGUUAGAUUUUAAUCACAAUCAAAUAGGAUUACGCCUUAGAUUGUUGGGGAACAAACCACAACGAACUUCGAUUGUGACUAAAUCUAACUAAUUUUGUGAUAAAAUUAAUAACAUUAACUUACCGAUAAUCGCUAAAUUUCAAAAAAAAUUGUUGAAGAAUAAUGACAAAUUAUUUGAUCCGGAAGCGUGCGGAGCACUGCCCUAAGGCGUAUUCCCGUUCUUCGUGCGGGAUUAACCGAAAACACCGAUCCAAGUUACGACCGGAAUUCCUCCUCCUACGAGCACGAACACGAAAGAGGUUGACGAAGCUUCUUUCAACACCCGGCGACGAAAGAAUUAAAUAAAUAAGAGAAAGUGAAAAGCAUAAAACCAAUUCUCAAAAUUUUAC